CCAGACUCCUACGGGAGGCAGCAGUGGGGGAUAUUGCACAAUGGGGGGAACCCUGAUGCAGCGACGCCGCGUGGGUGAAGAAGCGUUUCGGCGCGUAAAGCCCUAUCGGCAGGGAAGAAGGAGGACGGUACCUGACUAAGAAGCCCCGGCUAACUACGUGCCAGCAGCCGCGGGAAUACGUAGGGGGCAAGCGUUAUCCGGAUUUACUGGGUGGAAAGGGAGCGUAGACGGCUGUCCAAGCCAGAUGUGAAAGCCCGGGGCGCAACCCCGGGACUGCAUUGGGAACUGUGUGGCUGGAGUGUCGGAGAGGCAGGCGGAAUUCCUAGUGUAGCGGUGAAAUGCGUAGAUAUUAGGAGGAACACCAGUGGCGAAGGCGGCCUGCUGGACGAUGACUGACGUUGACGCUCGAAAGCGUGGGGAGCAAACAGGAUGAGACCCGGGUAA
This 444-nucleotide ribosomal RNA is filed under the name uncultured bacterium. RNAcentral describes it as "partial 16S ribosomal RNA". It matches the Rfam family "Bacterial small subunit ribosomal RNA", at positions 331 to 793 of the family's 1533-position model. The record is from RNAcentral.